Molecule: ribosomal RNA, 465 nt
Filed under: uncultured bacterium
Lineage: Bacteria
Description: bacterial SSU rRNA
Rfam family: Bacterial small subunit ribosomal RNA
Source: RNAcentral
CCUACGGGCGGCACCAGUGGGGAAUAUUGCACAAUGGGCGCAAGCCUGAUGCAGCCAUGCCGCGUGUAUGAAGAAGGCCUUCGGGUUGUAAAGUACUUUCAGCGAGGAGGAAGGCAUCAAGGUUAAUAACCUUGGUGAUCGACGUUACUCGCAGAAGAAGCACCGGCUAACUCCGUGCCAGCAGCCGCGGUAAUACGGAGGGUGCAAGCGUUAAUCGGAAUUACUGGGCGUAAAGCGCACGCAGGCGGUCUGUCAAGUCGGAUGUGAAAUCCCCGGGCUUAACCUGGGAACUGCAUUCGAAACUGGCAGGCUAGAGUCUUGUAGAGGGGGGUAGAAUUCCAGGUGUAGCGGUGAAAUGCGUAGAGAUCUGGGGGAAUACCGGUGGCGAAGGCGGCCCCCUGGACAAAGACUGACGCUCAGGUGCGAAAGCGUGGGGAGCAAACAGGAUUAGAUACCCCAGUAGUC